RNAcentral lists this long non-coding RNA (291 nucleotides) under Elaeis guineensis (African oil palm). Its description in RNAcentral is "long non-coding RNA (EGUI_LNC024867)". Lineage: Eukaryota; Viridiplantae; Streptophyta; Magnoliopsida; Arecales; Arecaceae. The record is from RNAcentral.
GCUGUUCAAAUUAUUUAAACUCCCUUGUGGAACUUAGUCCCCAAGCCAAAAGCUUUCCUUAAAGUCAGCGGUAACUGUCAUGUCUCUCGAGCAUUUCAUCGAACGGUUGCCGUUCUUCGCUACCCUACGACACUCUUCGCACUCCCCUCUCCAGUCCGCGGCAUGCGAGGAGGCAUUUCAUCGAACGGUUGCCGUUCUUCGCUACCCUACGACACUCUUCGCACUUCCCUCUCCAGUCCGCGGCAUGCGAGGAGGACAGCGGCGAUCGCAGAGGAGUUCAAUAGUUCGCCG